Long non-coding RNA from Drosophila ananassae, 1435 nucleotides. RefSeq lists it as uncharacterized. The record is from RefSeq and is a predicted model, not a curated record. NCBI's taxonomy places the organism in Eukaryota, Metazoa, Arthropoda, Insecta, Diptera, Drosophilidae. The transcript is spliced from 2 exons.
AUCUGCUUGGCCCCGGAGAUAUUUAGAGAACGGAAUUGUACUUUCUGUUGCUACAGCAGCUGCUCAUUUAGUUUGCAAUUUAAAAUGCACUCAUGGGAAUUUUUUCUUUUGUCUUGUGCGACAUGAGACUGUAAAAAUGUACGCAAUCCUGCAAAUGGACGAAAUUGAUCUAGAGGACACUUUUAUUAAAGCCUGAAAAACUUAUUUUUAUGUUGUCAUCCUUUUUACCAGUACACUAAGGGAAGCACUGUGGGAAGUUUAUUAUUCCUAUAUAAACCUAAUUAAAAUACUUUAAAGUUCUUGAGAUUUUCAUAAGACGGCGGCAACUUUAUCCCCGCUGGCCCACCUCCACAGGCCUUGUGCCGAGAAAGUCUUCCUAACAUUGUUGGUGUUUUUAAGCGACUUGGAAAACUGCAGUUUAGCAAGCAUUGGUAUGCAUUAGAUUUAUAAUUUCCCAAGCUUGAUGGCUUUGCUUCGGCGCAGUUGCAGGAUACUGAAAUCAUUUCGAUUAAAAGGUUCUGUUGCUGGUAUUAGUCAAGCUGUAAUUACGAAACUACUUUUCCGCGCUCAUAAACUUUCUGAUGGCUUUAAUGCUACUUUCAAACUAACAAACUAUAAGUCCUGGUAUUUAGCUUUUAAAUUUCAAAAUAAACCCAUAUAUACAUAGGUUUUAGUGUCAGAAUAAAUCAUUAAAAUAAAUAAUCAUUCAAGUCAUUAUUUCUGAAGUUUCAACAAUUUUAUUGUCAUUUUUCUAUUUGAUUUAUUUGUGCGAUGAGGCGCAUAUGCCCAAUAUUCUUUAAUAUUAAGAGUCCAUUAAUAUUGUCAUUAAGCAAACUUUUGUGCAGCUCUCGUUUACAAGUCAUUAGUCAUGAUGCACACUCGACAUUAAUUCUGAAUUCGACAUAAGUCGAAUCGAACCUACAGAUUCCGGAGUUCAUUAGCUGUCUCGUAGUUUCGUUAAAUUAUUAUUUCUGCUUUGCACCACGCUCACGUCACUUUGCAUUAAAACUGGCGUCGAGGAAGCAACAUUUUCCCUCAAGAGAUUUUCAGCGAAACAAUAUUUUCUUUCGAUUAAUUCGCAAUCAUUCGUUGCCUUGCAUUUCCGAAAUCACUGAAGCACGCUCGAGAAAAUAAUCAUAAUAAAUACAGACAACGGCGAGCGUCCGGCGGCUAUUAGCGAAUUUCCGUGGACCACUUACGGAGCAAAUUCCGUGGAGCCGUAAAUGUGAAUGUCGGGACUCCGGCGAACUGUGCACAAUUUUCACGCCUUCAACAUUUUAAUGGUGGCACAUCAUUGAGGGGGAAAAACACAAAUACAAAACGUUUUCACAUACUACGCAGAAUUUAAAAUUACGACGACCUCACGUUUCGUUUAAAUUACGUAAAAAAUUUUGGAUUAAUUUGCCGCAGAAUUUUAAUUAUAUUUUUUCUUUCA